GGCUGAAAUUCGCCUUCAUGAAGCUGGAAUUGCUAGUAAUGGCAGGUCAGCAUACUGCCGUGAAUACGUUCCCGGGCCUUGUACACACCGCCCGUCACACCAUGAGAGUUGGAAAUGCCCGAAGUCUGUGACCCAACCUGAGAGGGAGGGAGCAGCCGAAGGCAGGUCUGAUGACUGGGGUGAAGUCGUAACAAGGUAAC
This 200-nucleotide ribosomal RNA is filed under the name uncultured bacterium. RNAcentral describes it as "partial 16S ribosomal RNA". It matches the Rfam family "Bacterial small subunit ribosomal RNA", at positions 1303 to 1500 of the family's 1533-position model. The record is from RNAcentral.